GGGGAUUUAGCUAAGUGGUAGAGCGUUUGCCUAGCAAGCACAAGGGACUGGGUUCGUUUCCCAGCUCCG
This 69-nucleotide transfer RNA is filed under the name Rattus norvegicus (Norway rat). It matches the Rfam family "tRNA". From Rfam's summary of the family: Transfer RNA (tRNA) molecules are approximately 80 nucleotides in length. Lineage: Eukaryota; Metazoa; Chordata; Mammalia; Rodentia; Muridae. The record is from Rfam by way of RNAcentral.